Molecule: ribosomal RNA, 469 nt
Filed under: uncultured bacterium
Lineage: Bacteria
Description: partial 16S ribosomal RNA
Rfam family: Bacterial small subunit ribosomal RNA
Source: RNAcentral
GACGAACGCUGGCGGCGUGCUUAACACAUGCAAGUCGAACGGAAAGGCCCUGCUUGCAGGGUGCUCGAGUGGCGAACGGGUGAGUAACACGUGGGUGAUCUGCCCCUUAUUUUGGGAUAAGCCUGGGAAACUGGGUCUAAUACUGGAUAGGACCAUGCUGUAGGUGGUGUGGUGGAAAGAUUAGUUUCGGUAAGGGAUGAGCUCGCGGCCUAUCAGCUUGUUGGUGGGGUAAUGGCCUACCAAGGCGUCGACGGGUAGCCGGCCUGAGAGGGUGGACGGCCACAUUGGGACUGAGAUACGGCCCAGACGCCUACGGGAGGCAGCAGUGGGGAAUAGUGCACAAUGGGCGCAAGCCUGAUGCAGCGACGCCGCGUGGGGGAUGACGGCCUUCGGGUUGUAAACUCCUUUCAGCCAUGACGAAGCCCUUGUGGUGACGGUAGUGGUAGAAGAAGCACCGGCUAACUACGUG